Molecule: long non-coding RNA, 375 nt
Filed under: Rattus norvegicus (Norway rat)
Lineage: Eukaryota; Metazoa; Chordata; Mammalia; Rodentia; Muridae
Description: long non-coding RNA NONRATT003252
Source: RNAcentral
GGCAGGCUGUUUUUCCUACUGAGUCACCCUUCUUGUUCCUUCUUUCUCCUUGAUGUUUGCUCCCCUCCCCUGAACUUGUGUAAAGCAGGUAUUUCAGUUUAUUUUCUGAGGUUAAAAAGGUUUCGGCCGAGUCCAGCUCGUCCAUGAACUCCAACACCCCACUGGUGAGGAUAACGACACGUCUGUCCUCAACGGCGGACACCCCGAUGCUAGCAGGGGUCUCUGAGUACGAGUUGCCAGAGGAUCCAAAGUGGGAAUUCCCCAGAGAUAAGCUGACGCUGGGCAAACCCCUGGGGGAAGGCUGCUUCGGGCAAGUAGUCAUGGCUGAAGCGGUGGGAAUCGAUAAGGACAGACCCAAGGAGGCAGUCACCGUGG